AUGGAUUUCUUUGAUAGAACAAGGAAACUGGAAGAUGAUAUAUUAAGAUUGGAUAGCAGAGCCUCAAUUUUGGAUUUGAGAGUAGAGUGUCAAGAUUUAGAAAGGUUUUCUGUGAUCAAUAGAUUUGCCAAGUUUCAUUCACGGGGACAGCAUGAUGGGGCAGAGACCUCAUCAUCCUCUGAUACUUCUCAGAGAUUUUUUCCCGUGAAACUUGUUACUGAAGUUCCAUUGCCUAGAAAUCUCCCGGACAGGAACCGCAACUGGAAGUGUAUGAGAAGAAUUGUACUAGGUUGCCUAAUCAACCCCUAG
RNAcentral lists this long non-coding RNA (309 nucleotides) under Vicia faba (fava bean). The record is from RNAcentral. Lineage: Eukaryota; Viridiplantae; Streptophyta; Magnoliopsida; Fabales; Fabaceae.